AUUGAACGCUGGCGGAAUGCUUUACACAUGCAAGUCGAGCGGCAGCGCGGGGGCAACCCUGGCGGCGAGCGGCGAACGGGUGAGUAACAUAUCGGAACGUACCCCGUCGUGGGGGAUAACACAGCGAAAGCUGUGCUAAUACCGCAUACGACCUGAGGGUGAAAGCGGGGGAUCGCAAGACCUCGCGCGAUGGGAGCGGCCGAUAUCGGAUUAGCUUGUUGGUGAGGUAAAGGCUCACCAAGGCGACGAUCCGUAGCUGGUCUGAGAGGACGACCAACCACACUGGAACUGAGACACGGUCCAGACUCCUACGGGAGGCAGCAGUGGGGAAUAUUGCGCAAUGGGCGAAAGCCUGACGCAGCCACGCCGCGUGAGCGAUGAAGGCCUUCGGGUCGUAAAGCUCUGUGGGGAGAGACGAACCGGCGUCGUGGCUAAUAUCCACGGGUCUUGACGGUAUCUCCUUAGCAAGCAUCGGCUAACUCUGUGCCAGCAGCCG
Molecule: ribosomal RNA, 496 nt
Filed under: uncultured bacterium
Lineage: Bacteria
Description: bacterial SSU rRNA
Rfam family: Bacterial small subunit ribosomal RNA
Source: RNAcentral